Molecule: non-coding RNA, 115 nt
Filed under: Halothermothrix orenii
Lineage: Bacteria; Bacillati; Bacillota; Clostridia; Halanaerobiales; Halothermotrichaceae
Also listed under: 1 other name
Description: SAM-I sequence
Rfam family: SAM riboswitch aptamer (S box leader)
About the family: The SAM riboswitch is found upstream of a number of genes which code for proteins involved in methionine or cysteine biosynthesis in Gram-positive bacteria. The SAM riboswitch acts at the level of transcription termination control.
Source: RNAcentral
CAAUCAUCAAGAGUGGUGGAGGGACUGGCCCGAAGAAGCCCGGCAACCUACCUGAGUUUAGCAAGGUAAGGUGCCAAAUCCUGCAUUCUGGGGAAUCCGGAGUGAGAGAUGAGGG